AAUGUUAUGGUCUGGAGCCUUCUGAUAGUAUUAAAUAAAUUACGCUUUUAAAAAUGUCGUCGAACAAUGUAUAAUCAAGUUUAGAGUGUUUAAUGAAGGAAAUUUGAAAAAAAGAAACUCAAUAUUAUAUAAUUCUACUACUAAUAUGGUAAUAAUCAUAUUCCGAAAAGACUUAAAACGCAAUGAUCGUCAAACCUCUAUAUUAUUGUCAAUAUAAUAUUUUCCGUCCAUACGCGUGUUUACGGAUCUAUCGAUCAAUCUUUCGCAGAGUUUUCCGAUAAUAUGACACUAGUGAAAAAUGAAAAUAGUAAAAUAUUUAUCCCCGCUUAACGCUGAGGAAUCGAGUAUUUCGGAUUAAACAUUCACAGACGUCUUUAUAAUAGCUUGAAGGUCGAUCUAGCAACAUAAUCAUCAAUCGCGCGAGCACGACGUGAACACUGCCGAUCUGAUCUAUAUGUUUGACACAGGUAAUUAAAACUGCAUAACUAAAAUGUUUCAAGAUUGCAUUUUGGCCGGACUACGAUUU
Molecule: non-coding RNA, 526 nt
Organism: Cinara cedri
Lineage: Eukaryota; Metazoa; Arthropoda; Insecta; Hemiptera; Aphididae
Source: the annotation of a GenBank genome assembly